Molecule: microRNA precursor, 60 nt
Filed under: Tetraodon nigroviridis (spotted green pufferfish)
Lineage: Eukaryota; Metazoa; Chordata; Actinopteri; Tetraodontiformes; Tetraodontidae
Description: Tni-Mir-92-P2d_pre stem-loop
Rfam family: mir-25 microRNA precursor family
Source: RNAcentral
AGGCGGAGACUUGGGCAAUUGCCGGCCAUCACAGAGGGCAUUGCACUUGUCUCGGUCUGA